This 301-nucleotide ribosomal RNA is filed under the name uncultured bacterium. Its description in RNAcentral is "partial 16S ribosomal RNA". It matches the Rfam family "Bacterial small subunit ribosomal RNA", at positions 510 to 809 of the family's 1533-position model. The record is from RNAcentral.
AGCCGCCGCGGUAAUACGGAGGGCGCGAGCGUUACCCGGAUUUACUGGGCGUAAAGGGCGCGUAGGCGGCCUGGGGCGUCCCAUGUGAAAGGCCACGGCUCAACCGUGGAGGAGCGUGGGAUACGCUCAGGCUAGAGGGUGGGAGAGGGUGGUGAAUUCCCGGAGUAGCGGUGAAAUGCGCAGAUACCGGGAGGAACGCCGAUGGCGAAGGCAGCCACCUGGUCCACUUCUGACGCUGAGGCGCGAAAGCGUGGGGAGCAAACCGGAUUAGAUACCCGCGUAGUCCCUGUCUCUUAUACAC